CUACUAUCCAGCGAAACCACAGC
This 23-nucleotide small nuclear RNA is filed under the name Arabidopsis thaliana (thale cress). RNAcentral's name for it is "snRNA_05048". Lineage: Eukaryota; Viridiplantae; Streptophyta; Magnoliopsida; Brassicales; Brassicaceae. The record is from RNAcentral.